RNAcentral lists this long non-coding RNA (277 nucleotides) under Mytilus galloprovincialis (Mediterranean mussel). Lineage: Eukaryota; Metazoa; Mollusca; Bivalvia; Mytilida; Mytilidae. The record is from RNAcentral.
ACAUGACCAAAAUGGUCAAUUGACCCCUAAGGAGUUAUUGUCCUUUAUAGUCAAUUUUUAACAAUCUUCAUAAAAUUUGUAAAUUUUUACUAACAUUUUCCACUGAAACUACUUUGCCAAGAUCAUUAUAGAUAGAGAUAAUUGUAAGCAGCAAGAAUAUUCAGUAAAGUAAGAUGUACAAACACAUCACCAUCACCAAAACACAAUUUUGUCAUAAAUCCAUCUGCUUCCUUUGUUUAAUAUUCACAUAUACCAAGGUGAGCGACACAGGCUCUUU